UACGGGGGGGGCAAGCGUUGUUCGGAAUUACUGGGCGUAAAGGGCUCGUAGGCGGCCAACUAAGUCAUACGUGAAAUCCCUCGGCUUAACCGGGGAACUGCGUCUGAUACUGGAUGGCUUGAGUUCGGGAGAGGGAUGCGGAAUUCCAGGUGUAGCGGUGAAAUGCGUAGAUAUCUGGAGGAGCACCGGUGGCGAAGGCGGUUCUCUGGGCAUUACCUGACGCUGAGGAGCGAAAGUGUGGGGAGCGAACAGG
Molecule: ribosomal RNA, 253 nt
Filed under: uncultured bacterium
Lineage: Bacteria
Description: partial 16S ribosomal RNA
Rfam family: Bacterial small subunit ribosomal RNA
Source: RNAcentral